This is a long non-coding RNA of Danio aesculapii, 300 nucleotides long. RefSeq lists it as uncharacterized. The record is from RefSeq and is a predicted model, not a curated record. Lineage: Eukaryota; Metazoa; Chordata; Actinopteri; Cypriniformes; Danionidae. The transcript is spliced from 3 exons.
AACGCAAUAGGGAAAUAUGAGAUUAGAGUCGUGUCGUCUAAUCAAGGACUGGAAUUAUUUAUAAGCAUGAGUUUGGUUUGUCGUUGGACAAAAGGGAUGAAAGCUUUUCGGUCAUGUGGAUAUGUCUCAAACUUGCUCCUGUAGUACUCAUGACAAAGCUGUGCGGCAAGUGCUUGGUUACAGAGAACAUACAGCACCACCAGCCACCAGGAAAUCUCCAACAGCUUGCUUCCUACCUGAGCUGUCAGUCCUCAUCUUGGCCAGCAGAGAGAGGGACUGGUGCUGGAGAAAUGAGGCCCA